RNAcentral lists this long non-coding RNA (1318 nucleotides) under Equus asinus (donkey). RNAcentral describes it as "lncRNA (ENSEASG00005037620.1)". The record is from RNAcentral. Lineage: Eukaryota; Metazoa; Chordata; Mammalia; Perissodactyla; Equidae.
GGGGUGGGAGGAGAAGGAAGGGGAGAGAGCUGAGGAAAAAGUUUGAAAAUGCCUUGAACUAUUCACUGUCGAGAUGGCUAAUCAGUAUUGAGGCCGGAGGGCAGGCGGGCCGCCUUUCACCGCCGCUUCGCUUUCAUCUAGGGCUCGGCGGAGGCGCUCAAUUAAAAGCCUAUCAGUUUCUGUAACGUCCCCGACCUCGCUGAUGGCGUUGCCUGGGCUUUGCAAAUAUGCGGAGGAGACUCACGGGGCAUCUGGGCCUCAGCACUGAAAUCGACGGGAUUUCUCUGGCUGGUGUUUGAGCUGCCUGUAUCCGAAUAAAUCCAGCUCUCAAGCGUCCGGCAGGAAACGGCUCCGGGUUUGCGCGUACGCAGACGCAUCGGCCAGCGCGGGACGCGUUGUGGCUCCUCCUGUUCCGUGCCGCGGCAGGUCCGGCCUCUGAGGGAGGCUAGCCCAGCAGCGCCUUUAGGCCGAACGGCCGCUCGCGGCCCGGCAGUGCCUGGCAGCUCCCAUCUCCGGCGGUAGUCGGCAACCGCUGGGCCAAGUCCGCCCGCGGCGAAAACUGAAAGCAAAUUCCGCGGCAGAUGAAGCCCGAACUUUCUUGGACGCAAGUUUGCAGUAGAGAUUCGGUGGCGGCUUUGGGAGGACAGCGCGCUAGUGUGUGCGCGCGCAAGGUGGGGCGGUGGGCGAAGAGAGCACCCGGCGGCCGAGCCUGGCCCGAGGCGAAACACUAGGGAAGGCGCCUUCCCUUCUUUAUUUCUCGCCAACUCCUCGGCUCCUGUCCGUAAAAAUAGUUUCCAAGGUGCCUCGGACGCCCAGAAUGUGUUUAUGGGGAUCGCACCAGAGAAAGGAAGGCUUUGUAAAAGUUGUAGAAAGAGCUUUGCGCAGCGUUCGCCCAGCGGGGUUCAAGAAAGCUUGGGACUAGCUCGCCUUCCCUGGGGAGGAAUAGCCAGAAAUUGGCCUGGGGAGCCCCCUGCCUAGUCCUGUCCCCUCACCUCCAACCCACGAGUAUAUAAGCUCUCGCUGCCUGCGCUGCAAACUUCUCGGCGCGGCGCCGCGGUCAGCGGGCGAGGACAGGACGCAGAGCGGGCCGGCAAGGCCGCUCCUCGGAGCUCUCAGCCCCAGCCCUGAGUGAGGCUUGCGCGGAGGUGAGAGGACGAGUGUGGUUCCCGCUCCCACUUGGCUGCCGAAACCGUCAUCGCCGACCUCCCAACUCCCGGAGCCGGCGCUUCCCCUGGGAGCGGCGGUCUUGGGGGGCUGGCGAGGGCGCAAAGUGCGCGUGCGAAGCGAAGCGCACGAGGGCGGGGGCGGCCGCGGGUCU